GAUGAACGCUGGCGGCGUGCCUAAUACAUGCAAGUCGAGCGAACGGACGAGAAGCUUGCUUCUCUGAUGUUAGCGGCGGACGGGUGAGUAACACGUGGAUAACCUACCUAUAAGACUGGGAUAACUUCGGGAAACCGGAGCUAAUACCGGAUAAUAUUUUGAACCGCAUGGUUCAAAAGUGAAAGACGGUCUUGCUGUCACUUAUAGAUGGAUCCGCGCUGCAUUAGCUAGUUGGUAAGUUAACGGCUUACCAAGGCAACGAGGCAUAGCCGACCUGAGAGGGUGAUCGGCCACACUGGAACUGAGACACGGUCCAGACUCCUAAGGGAGGCAGCAGUAGGGAAUCUUCCGCAAUGGGCGAAAGCCUGACGGAGCAACGCCGCGUGAGUGAUGAAGGUCUUCGGAUCGUAAAACUCUGUUAUUAGGGAAGAACAUAUGUGUAAGUAACUGUGCACAUCUUGACGGUACCUAAUCAGAAAGCCACGGCUAACUACGUG
This 497-nucleotide ribosomal RNA is filed under the name uncultured bacterium. RNAcentral describes it as "partial 16S ribosomal RNA". It matches the Rfam family "Bacterial small subunit ribosomal RNA", at positions 28 to 507 of the family's 1533-position model. The record is from RNAcentral.